Long non-coding RNA from Patella vulgata (common limpet), 4274 nucleotides. RefSeq lists it as uncharacterized. NCBI's taxonomy places the organism in Eukaryota, Metazoa, Mollusca, Gastropoda, Patellidae. The transcript has 3 exons. The record is from RefSeq and is a predicted model, not a curated record.
AUCACCGAAUUGGAGUAACCCUCGCCAUUACGUAACUUGAGUUAAUGAAUUUUAAAUGAUCGACAUAUCUUUUCUUUUACUUUGAAGGAUACCAGUCGACUCGAGCGUGGCAGAUGGUUAAUUUUCCUUCAGUUGCCUUCCCCUUUGUGUGUAGUCUCGAACUCGAAGUAGACUGGAAUACACGAGACACUCAAAUUUACUCAAUAUUGAUCAGUGGAAGUUUAACGGCAAACAAAGAAUACUCGCCAUAAGCAAGCACACAACAGUGCUGGAUACUAAUAAAACCUUGAUCUGCUACAAUAGUAUGCAUCAAUGACUAACUCCGGAACGGAUAAAUCUGUGACAUAUAAUCAAAUGAAGAAGCGAUCAGAUGCGAGUGAUCUCAUAAGAGAUGGAACUCCUAAAAAGUCACCAUGUGGAAAGAAAUGUUUUGUGGCGACGGUGGUGGCACUCUUCUUAUUCUUGAUAUUUGUUGCUCUGCCUGGAGGAAUACUAAUUAUAGUCCAUGGACGAAAAGUUCAUAGUCUGGGAUGUCUUAUUGGUGGAGCCAUUUUGGCAUCAACGCCAGCAGUGGCUAUUGUUGGUGUCUGUAUAGGCUUCUUUAUUCGAAGACGACGCCGGAAAUCGACCGGAAGUGUAGCGUUGAACACACAACGUAUUUGAAUUUCAAAAUGUGCUAGAAUCAGCUUACUGUGAUUUGACUCUUAUUAUUGUUGUUAUUAAUGUCAACAUGGUUUCUGAAAGGUGUCGCUUGACAUUAUUUCAGUAUUCAGUGCUCAUGUACAGGAAACAGACUGUCGAUCAUAUUGAUCUGAUUGUCAUCAAACAAGAUGGAGGUCAAUCUCGCAACAAACUGUAAAAGACAAGAUGGCUAUUUCGUCUUAACAUCGUUUCAUGAUCAACGAAAUGGUUUUCAAGUACGUGAAUGGAGUCUAAACGAGAUUUAUGCUUUGUCUGUCUCAAGGAGAUUUUUGUGAAAGUAACUUAAAUGUGAAAUGUCAUGGACGCAGUGUUGAGUUAUAUCCAAAUGUGUAUCAUCAACGAAGACAGUUUGUUAUGUAAUUUGAAUUGGGGCUGACUUUAUAAUCCAUUAAAAAAAAAAUCAUUAUUUCCUUUAAAUGAAGGAAACUCACCCACCCACUCACUCACAUGCCGCCAGGGUAGUAUUAUUUACGAUAAUUAGAACAAAUGGAUCUCGGAACAUUUUUAUGGAAGACAAAAGAUUCUGAAACUACUGGUUGAUAUUAACAUUCAUUAUUGUAAAUACUCGAUAAACUUGAACUUCGUAUUGACGUAAUCAAAAUUGUUUUGUAUGUGUGGCACUCUAUAGUCGAUAGUUUUCGUUUUUAAUUGUAUAUCAUAAUUCAAUAUUUGAACCAUGUCAUUUAAGAUCAGGCCAUCACCUGAAAAUGGUAUUAAAUCUAUUGAUGUUAAUGAAAGACACAGACAAGUUUAUAGAUGUCAGUGCUCAAUUAUUUGUAAAGGAUACAGUUUCUAGUCGUGUGAAUUGAAAUGUUUGUAUUACCGUUUAAUAUUUCGCUUUAUAUUUAAUAUUUUGUCUCGUAUUAUGAACAAUUUUCGGGAAAUAAUCGUCGUUCUAACUGACCUUAACAUUAUGGUUUUUGUUCAUAAUAGCUACACCAUGCGUGAUUCAAUAGCGAUGAGACUCUAAAAGUAUUUUACGGAAAUAGACCCAAUUAAUACGCCUGUUUACUUUAUGACGCGAUUAAUACUUAUAACCUACUAUAUAUUUAUUUUCUAAAAUCAAUUGAAACAAGUAUGAUUAGUUAUACGGAACAAUUUUGGGUAUAUUUUGCUGUCUUUUUCAAAUGACAAAAGGUUUCCAUAAGAAACUGGUUUUUAUUUGUACGGUAUCUAUCUAGUCAGUUGAGAAUACGAGUGUUUUGAUUAUACCAAAUGUUUGUGUUUUUUUAGUCAUUGUUUUGAGAGUGCAUGUCGAAAGUGAAUACAAAGAUAUAGUGUGUUGAUGGAAUGUGUUUAGCUGAUGAAAGAUAUUAUCUGAAGGGACACUCACUGGUUUUUCCUAUGAAGACUUUUCGAAAAUCCUUAAAAUUCAAAAUGAUUCUGGAUUCAAUCGGUUUAUGAUUAAUUUAUUUACGAUUUGUUUCUUCAAACCUUUUAUAGUAAAGUAAAAUUAUAACUCCUGCAAAGGCACCACAAUCAAUGUACAAGACAUAAGCGAUUAUCAAUAUGCCCCCAUUUCCUUCAUUAAUAGUAUAUUAACAGAAAUAAUAGUCAUUAAGCGAAAAACCAAGUAUCUCUUCAGAAUAUGCAUCUGAUAACGAAAUGUAUGUGAUUUAUUAAAACAUUUUAGUACUUAUCCUUAUUUAUAAAUUGGUAAGCAAAUUAUAUAUGCCGCUUUCUUAAAACGAGUAAAGCGAAAACCAGAAGCUUAUACAUAUACGUCAGUAUACAUUUGUACAUUAAUACAAGGAUUCUUGUACUUAGUCACAAUGUCAUAUCAUCUGCCUCCCUCAAGGUGACUUAUGGUGAACGUAAGAAGGGACUAUUUUAAGACACGGGGUCAUGCCAAGUGCACUAAUCAAAUGAGAACAUUGUUAUCUGUCAACACUUUACACUCUUAUCUUUGUGCAAUAUAAGACCGAUUUAAUUACGGUAUUCGAACAUGAUCCCUACUUUUAACCUAACUGUUUAUGCCAGUAGUAAAUAACAUGUACACAAUGUUUUACUGGUGGACAACAACAGGAGGAAAUGAGGUCCACUAGCGCGUGAAGUAUGCCCGGGGCAUUCAAAUCUUGGUGAUACCUAAAAUCAUCUUGAUAUAUUCAAUGACUUUCAGUGCAGUUAUUUCCUAAAUACAAUUUAGUACUGCUAUGGAUUUAAAUUUUAUGUUAUUUUCUAAGCUGAUUCUGGAGAUAAGAAUUUAUAGAUGGAAAUGUAAAAAAAGCAACUUCUAAUGUUUAUAGAAGAGUCAAGUUAAUAUCGAGAAUAACAGCUUGAUCAAUUUUGAUCCUCAUUAAAGUUAUGAUAUGAAGAACUGGCAUCAGCUUUCAUAUGUAAGACAUAUUUAGAUGCUAAACUCCAGAAUUAUGAUAAGAAACGCCAACAUCAGAGAACUAGUCUUUCAAGUAAUGCUUUCAAUCAAUGUUUCUGGGGUAUUUAGGCCACAACAGAGAAUAUCCUCUGUCUGUCGACAUUUAUGAAUUUACAUAUAAAUGACAAGCAAAGGGAUUUGGUCCUUUGUUAUUAUUUUAUAUAAACAAACAAUUAUAUACUGAUGAUUGAUUUGACCGCCAAAUAAUUCCCUGUUAUGUUUUAGUAAAUAGGAUUGUAAGAAAGAUGAUAUUUAUUAUGAAUUAUGUAGUCUUUUUACUAAUCGAUUUCAUUUAAAUAUCUUAAGGAUGAUUACUAAAAUGUUAUUUUAAUUUAUAAUUCAUAUGAUUCAGUUCCUCACAUUUCAAUACAUUCCUUAAUAAUACUUAUAGAAUAACUGACCAAUUAUGUUUAUUCAGGGCGAUAUUAGAAGCCUAAAAAAUUUUUUAAAGCUCAGAAUAUAUCAUUACACUUCUAUUAUGUAAUCAUAAUCCUUUUUUAUAUAAACAAGACAAAGUCAUUAUUUUCUCUUUUAUCUGUAUAUUUUAUUCACUUUAGCGUAUGUUGACGCCAUUUUACUACAUCAUUAAAGUUUUAUCGCUAUAAUGGCCCAUUUGUUAUUCAUCCAAACGUAAUCCAUCAAAAAUAUGCUGAUUAAAAUAUUACUCGUGAUGAAUUUUAAUAUUAUCAUGUAUUUGUGGUUUUGCUUAUGUUAAGUGUAUACGUAAUUUGUUAUUGUACAUAAAUUAUAAUAUUAAUUAUUUAAAUGAACUGAUUGUUUUACAUUUUAAUCUUUUGUCAUGGCUGACUGUGAAAUUAAAACCAUCGGUCAACAGAAAGGUUUGGUUGUCUUGGUAACACGAAUGCCGCUGAUUAUGACAAAUAAAAAGGAUUAAAAAUAUAUACCAGAUUAUUUUUCAUUUAUUCCCCUAAAUCAUAUGAACUAAGAAAGGAUCACGUUAUUGUUUCAUUGACAGUAUUGUUUUACUUACUAAGCCAUUGUGCGUUAUGUUAAGUGCCAGUCAGUCUCCAAGGCCUCAUCUUUGUAUUUAUAGGCCCACAGUUAAUUUAAGAUAAGUCAAUAGUGUAACAAGAAGUCUUUAUCAAAACAGUAUUGAUUUUAAGAAAUUAUCAUUGUGAAUUUAUCAUUUUAAUGGGUUUUUUUUAUGGAAGAGAAUAAUAAAUGCUUUAAAACCUAA